RNA transcript from Juglans regia (Persian walnut), 2633 nucleotides. RefSeq lists it as uncharacterized. The record is from RefSeq and is a predicted model, not a curated record. The transcript is spliced from 5 exons. Lineage: Eukaryota; Viridiplantae; Streptophyta; Magnoliopsida; Fagales; Juglandaceae.
CUGACCCAAGGAAACCAAAAGGCCUCACUUUUCUCAGACGAAAAGGAUAAGCUGAAAAUCUCUGGAUUGUUUCUGUGAUUUUGGUUCUGGGUGAAAGAAAUGGCAGCUAUGUGUGUUUUAGACAGCGACAACGAAGGUAGCGCCAGUGAUCGAAACAUUUCGGAAUUGAUUUCUAGAUUAAGAACCGCUUACCGGACGAAGGAUUUCGACCGAGUCGAAGAGAUUCUGGUAUCCAGAGAAGUAAAAUUGAAGAGGGAGCUCAAUAAGCAAAAGUGCGAGGUUGAGCUUUGGAAGAGGAGGUUUGAAGAGUUAGGGAUUAGAGUUUCUAAAUUGGAGGAAGAUACCGCAAUGCUGAUGGAUAUGGGGCCUCAGGUUUCAAAUAAAUGUGGCGAUAACGCGUCGGUAAAGGAGGAGAAGUGUUGUGGAAAGGGGAGAGUUGAAAAUGGGACUAAUACUGUAGACGUGAGCAUUCAGAAUAAUGGAUUUGGUUGCGACGAAAAUACGAGUGUAGCAGCUGGUGCAGGCCUUAAUUUGCGUUCGCCCACUAAAACAGACGGGGAUUUGCAGUGUGCAGAAGCACUAUAGAUGAUUUCAGUUGUCACUGGCUGGUGUUGUUAGUAGCUCGUCCAACAUCUGCAUCAAGAGCCAUUGUUGACAUCCUUGAUAGCGAUGAUGAUCAUGCUCCAGAAGGAAUUUUGCGCAGAGAAGAAAACAAAGACCUCAUAGACAAGGUGAUCUCCAGAAUGCUUAAAAGAAAACAAACUACAUGCGUAAAUGUAAGUGAGAACAUAAAUGGUGGUGAUCAUGAAGGAGAUGAUGAUAUAUGUCCAACUAGUAAACGAAAGAUGAAGCAGCAACAAGAAUUGAUUCGUGAUACUUAUGGUUCUCGUGCCAAUCAUUGCUCAGAUUCAACAGCUUUUUCUGGUAGUCAAAAUGUUAAUAAACUUAUUAGCUCAUCAAGGCAGGAUGUAAUUGAGAACAUGAAUGGUGGUAUUCACAAAGUGGAAGGUAAUAUAUUUCCAACCAGUACACGAGAUAUGAAAGAAGAAGAAGAAUCAAUUCGUGAUACUGGUGAUUGUCCUGUGAAUUGUUGCUCAGCUACCGCAGUUUCUUCUGGUUGUAAAAAUGUUGAUAAACUUGCUAGUUCAUCAAGACAAUGUGAGGAGAAAAUGAAGACUGUACAUGCUUCAAGAAAUCUUAUGCAUGAACUUGUUUUGGAGGGGGAUAGUGACAGCAGUUCCAGUUCAUCUGAUAGUGACGAUGAGUUUAUUAGUUCGAGAAUUGCAAAAUUAGAAAGACAAUGGAGGGUUUAACAAGUUUGAUGCACUCAGGGGAACUACUUUUGUGGAGUUUCUUGUAGAUGGCGAUCCUCAAGGGAACCCAAAGAAAUCGGUUAGAGUUGGAGAACAGAACCAGAAAAGUCUCUCUGACUGUAAAGGACUAGCUAUUGAUCACCGUAAGCAAUUAUUUGAGACUUACCAGAAGAGGAACAUUUCUUCCUAUCAUCAUUUGAAUGUGCAGAAGUAGAUGAUACGAGAUGGUGAUAUUUUGUAUUUUGUGGUUCUGAAUCCAUUUGUUGCUGGAUUAUCAAAUGAAAGGAAAAAGGGUCAAAGCUCAAAACAGAAUUUCCAUCAAGAGGAAUGGACCAGACUAUGGAAACUGCUAAUACCUCCAGUAACUAAGAAUUUUUUGUGGAGAGCAUGCAGGAAUAUUCUGCCUACUAGGGUCAAUUUGUGCAAAAAGCAUAUCAUGCAAGACUCUAGAUGUCCAAUGUGCCUCAGAGAACAAGAAACAACUGAACAUAUUCUAUAGGAGUGUGCUUCUGCAACUGAUAUUCUGAGUCAAAGUUCGAGGAAAAUUCAGAAAUCAAAGUCUUCUUGCAACAGUUUCCAAGAACUUAUGAAGGACAUGUUCAACAGGCUUAAUAAGGAAGAAUUGACAGAAUUAACUCUGAUUUUCUGGAACAUUUGGAGAAGAAGAAACGAGCAAGUUUUCGACAAGGUUAUUAGUGAUCCGAAGAAUGUGAUGUUCAGAGUAAAAAACAUGUUGUCUGACUUAUCUAUAUCAAAUACUGUUGAGGAUGUUCAGGUUUCAACAAGAAGCAAUAGGAGGGCUUCUUGGGAAUGUCCACUUCAAGGUUAUUGUAAAAUAAACUGGGAUGUGGCAGUUCAAUCAAAGUUUUGUAAAAUAGGCAUAGGAGUUGCUGAAAGAGAUGAGGAAGGGAAUUUUUUUGGCAACUUUGAGGCAGCAACAAGAUGCAUUUCUAGAUCCACUUCUAGCAGAGGUAACUGCAUCUCUUAAAGCAGUCAAUUUUGGCAUUGACUUGGGAUUGAAAAGGGUAAUAUUAGAAUGGGACUCCAAACUAGUGGUUAAUGCAGUUCAACAAUUGAGAAGGGAUGAAAGCUACUUUAGAAUGCUCAUUUCUGAUAUUCAAACUACCAUGGGUAGAUAUGAAAAGUGUUGUUUUAAUCACAUUUGUAGGGAAGGCAACGGCCAUCAUUAAGAUGAAAUAUUUGUGCUAGUUUUUAUGUUCCUUGUACUCGCCAACUCAUGGUCGGUGAAUUGCGUAAUUGUACAUGUUUUUUUAGAUAUAGUUUUCUUUCAGAUAAGGUUACAUGUUCCAAAUUGUUCAA